AUUGAACGCUGGCGGCAGGCCUAACACAUGCAAGUCGAACGGUAACAGGAAGAAGCUUGCUUCUUUGCUGACGAGUGGCGGACGGGUGAGUAAUGUCUGGGAAACUGCCUGAUGGAGGGGGAUAACUACUGGAAACGGUAGCUAAUACCGCAUAAUGUCGCAAGACCAAAGAGGGGGACCUUCGGGCCUCUUGCCAUCGGAUGUGCCCAGAUGGGAUUAGCUAGUAGGUGGGGUAACGGCUCACCUAGGCGACGAUCCCUAGCUGGUCUGAGAGGAUGACCAGCCACACUGGAACUGAGACACGGUCCAGACUCCUACGGGAGGCAGCAGUGGGGAAUAUUGCACAAUGGGCGCAAGCCUGAUGCAGCUAUGCCGCGUGUAUGAAGAAGGCCUUCGGGUUGUAAAGUACUUUCAGCGGGGAGGAAGGGAGUAAAGUUAAUACCUGUGCUCAUUGACGUUACCCGCAGAAGAAGCACCGGCUAACUCCGU
This 489-nucleotide ribosomal RNA is filed under the name uncultured bacterium. RNAcentral's name for it is "partial 16S ribosomal RNA". It matches the Rfam family "Bacterial small subunit ribosomal RNA", at positions 30 to 506 of the family's 1533-position model. The record is from RNAcentral.